Molecule: small nuclear RNA, 22 nt
Filed under: Arabidopsis thaliana (thale cress)
Lineage: Eukaryota; Viridiplantae; Streptophyta; Magnoliopsida; Brassicales; Brassicaceae
Description: snRNA_17542
Source: RNAcentral
UUCUUGUGAUAUACUCUUGUGU